RNAcentral lists this small RNA (520 nucleotides) under uncultured Glomus. RNAcentral describes it as "SSU rRNA". It matches the Rfam family "Eukaryotic small subunit ribosomal RNA", at positions 569 to 1090 of the family's 1831-position model. Lineage: Eukaryota; Fungi; Glomeromycota; Glomeromycetes; Glomerales; Glomeraceae. The record is from RNAcentral.
AGCAGCCGCGGUAAUUCCAGCUCCAAUAGCGUAUAUUAAAGUUGUUGCAGUUAAAAAGCUCGUAGUUGAAUUUCGGGGUCAGUAGGUUGGUCGUGCCACAGGUAUGCACUGGUCUCACUGAUUCCUCCUUCCUGAUGAACCGUAAUGCCAUUAAUUUGGUGUUGCGGGGAGACUGGACUGUUACUUUGAAAAAAUUAGAGUGUUUAAAGCAGGCUAACGCUUGAAUACAUUAGCAUGGAAUAACGGAAUAGGACGUUCGAUCUUAUUUUGUUGGUUUCUAAGAUUGACGUAAUGAUUAAUAGGGAUAGUUGGGGGCAUUAGUAUUCAAUUGUCAGAGGUGAAAUUCUUGGAUUUAUUGAAGACUAACUACUGCGAAAGCAUUUGCCAAGGAUGUUUUCAUUAAUCAAGAACGAAAGUUAGGGGAUCGAAGACGAUCAGAUACCGUCGUAGUCUUAACCAUAAACUAUGCCGACUAGGGAUCGGAUGACGUUAAUUUUUUAAUGACUCAUUCGGCGCCUUA